UACGGAGGGUGCAAGCGUUAUCCGGAUUCACUGGGUUUAAAGGGUGCGUAGGUGGGCAGGUAAGUCAGUGGUGAAAUCUCUGGGCUUAACCCAGAAACUGCCGUUGAUACUAUCUGUCUUGAAUGUAGUGGAGGUGAGCGGAAUAUGUCAUGUAGCGGUGAAAUGCUUAGAUAUGACAUAGAACACCCAUUGCGAAGGCAGCUCGCUACACUAUUAUUGACACUGAGGCACGAAAGCGUGGGGAUCAAACAGG
RNAcentral lists this ribosomal RNA (253 nucleotides) under uncultured bacterium. RNAcentral describes it as "partial 16S ribosomal RNA". It matches the Rfam family "Bacterial small subunit ribosomal RNA", at positions 524 to 776 of the family's 1533-position model. The record is from RNAcentral.